This 482-nucleotide ribosomal RNA is filed under the name uncultured Oscillospiraceae bacterium. RNAcentral's name for it is "bacterial SSU rRNA". It matches the Rfam family "Bacterial small subunit ribosomal RNA", at positions 8 to 507 of the family's 1533-position model. The record is from RNAcentral. Lineage: Bacteria; Bacillati; Bacillota; Clostridia; Eubacteriales; Oscillospiraceae.
AGAGUUUGAUCCUGGCUCAGGACGAACGCUGGCGGCGCGCCUAACACAUGCAAGUCGAACGGUGAAGAGGAGCUUGCUCCUCGGAUCAGUGGCGGACGGGUGAGUAACACGUGAGCAACCUGCCUUUCAGUGGGGGACAACAGUUGGAAACGACUGCUAAUACCGCAUAACGUGCCAGAGGGGCAUCCUUUUGGUACCAAAGAUUUAUCGCUGAAAGAUGGGCUCGCGUCUGAUUAGAUAGUUGGUGAGGUAACGGCCCACCAAGUCGACGAUCAGUAGCCGGACUGAGAGGUUGAUCGGCCACAUUGGGACUGAGACACGGCCCAGACUCCUACGGGAGGCAGCAGUGGGGAAUAUUGGACAAUGGGGGAAACCCUUAUCCAGCGACGCCGCGUGAGGGAAGAAGGUUUUCGGAUUGUAAACCUCUGUCAGUGGGGACGAUAAUGACGGUACCCACGGAGGAAGCCACGGCUAACUACGUG